UGCACACGCUCAGAUACUCACAUGUUGCAUGAGGUGUGUACACAAGACACACAUGCACACGCUCAGAAACAUCCUGUACACAACCACACUCAGACAUGCACGUUGCAUGUGUCAUGCAUACAUACACCCAGACACGCUGCACAUGCCGUGUAUACACAGACACACAUUCAGACAUGCUGUGUGCAUGUGUACACAGACAUGCAUACUCAAAGACACUUGCAUAUGUACCUACAUUCACACAUACACACUCAAAGACACAUAUAUACUCACAUUUACAUACACACUUGCAGUCCCAGUCACACAUGGUUGUACACAC
RNAcentral lists this long non-coding RNA (316 nucleotides) under Homo sapiens (human). RNAcentral's name for it is "HSALNT0395991". Lineage: Eukaryota; Metazoa; Chordata; Mammalia; Primates; Hominidae. The record is from RNAcentral.